This 87-nucleotide transfer RNA is filed under the name Chlamydomonas peterfii. RNAcentral describes it as "tRNA-Ser". It matches the Rfam family "tRNA". From Rfam's summary of the family: Transfer RNA (tRNA) molecules are approximately 80 nucleotides in length. Their secondary structure includes four short double-helical elements and three loops (D, anti-codon, and T loops). Further hydrogen bonds mediate the characteristic L-shaped molecular structure. tRNAs have two regions of fundamental functional importance: the anti-codon, which is responsible for specific mRNA codon recognition, and the 3' end, to which the tRNAs corresponding amino acid is attached (by aminoacyl-tRNA synthetases). tRNAs cope with the degeneracy of the genetic code in two manners: having more than one tRNA (with a specific anti-codon) for a particular amino acid; and 'wobble' base-pairing, i.e. permitting non-standard base-pairing at the 3rd anti-codon position. Lineage: Eukaryota; Viridiplantae; Chlorophyta; Chlorophyceae; Chlamydomonadales; Chlamydomonadaceae. RNAcentral also lists the same sequence under 1 other name. The record is from RNAcentral.
GGAAAGGUGGCAGAGUGGUUGAAUGCACCAAUUUUGAAAAUUGGCGUGGCUGUGAAGUCAUCUAGGGUUCGAAUCCCUACCUUUCCG